ACGAACGCUGGCGGCGUGCCUAAUACAUGCAAGUCGAGCGAAUCAAUGGGAGCUUGCUCCCUGAGAUUAGCGGCGGACGGGUGAGUAACACGUGGGUAACCUGCCUGUAAGAUUGGGAUAACUCCGGGAAACCGGAGCUAAUACCGGAUAACAUUUUGAACCGCAUGGUUUGAAAUUGAAAGACGGCUUUUAGCUGUCACUUACAGAUGGACCCGCGGCGCAUUAGCUAGUUGGUGAGGUAACGGCUCACCAAGGCAACGAUGCGUAGCCGACCUGAGAGGGUGAUCGGCCACACUGGGACUGAGACACGGCCCAGACUCCUACGGAGCAGCAGUAGGGAAUCUUCCGCAAUGGACGAAAGUCUGACGGAGCAACGCCGCGUGAACGAUGAAGGCCUUCGGGUCGUAAAGUUCUGUUGUUAGGGAAGAACAAGUACAGAGUAACUGCUGGUACCUUGACGGUACCUAACCAGAAGCCACGGCUAACUACGU
Molecule: ribosomal RNA, 491 nt
Filed under: uncultured bacterium
Lineage: Bacteria
Description: bacterial SSU rRNA
Rfam family: Bacterial small subunit ribosomal RNA
Source: RNAcentral